GCACACUUUUGGCAGGGUUACACUGGAUUAUUUCGGUCGCUUGACUCUCUCGAGGUCAGGCUGGGACCCAUUUUCUCUACAGCUGAGCAGGAUAUGGUGCAGCGUGACCACAAACUUUUUGCCACAAGUACUGUCACAACACUUCUCUCAUUCUUAACUUUCUAGCUCUGCUUGUUGCUUCCUUCAACGAAGAGAGGGGAGAAUGCUCCAAAGGAGAUUCAAACUCUUCGAAACAAGCAUGAACUGGUUCCUUUCACCCGCAGGGUUGAAUAGCAAAGGUGACAGUUUUGGACUUUCCUUCAGGUUUCCUUUAAGUGUUCCUAUUUAAAAAUACAUAUUGCAAUGGGACGACCAAUAUGGAAGAUUGUGCACUUUUGUCAAAUGGAACCAAAUAUGGAAUACAUGUCAAAACGGAAAUGCAGGCACCAGCAGGACAGCAACAGAUGCUCCUUUUGUCAUAAGAAGACUUGAAAGGCAUGUAUACCUGCGACAGAUGCCAAAUGCUGACAAAAGACUUAACUACGUUCUCUUUCAUGGUCCUUUACUCAUGACUGCAGGAUUUGUCACACAUCUCCAAAUUUAUCUUGCAAAUCUAGUGUGGCUGAUUCCGAUGAUCACUCUUAGACAAAGGCUAAAGUGGGCAGGCGAAUAGGAGGGCAUAGCCGAAUCUGCUCAGUGUUGGCAGGGGCUCAGGCUCCAGCUCUUGUGCAAGAAGGGUUUGCACACCUCUCUCUCUCUCUCUCUGCCUUUCCCUUGUCUUGUGAGCGACUGAGACGUGGAAAUGGUGUCUUCGCCCUUUCUUCCCUGCUGUUUUUUUUUUGUUUUUUUUGGUCGUUGUUUCAAUACUUCCUCUUUAAGCUUCAUCCGGAGUCUCCUGCAGUGUAUGAAAAUGCUCUCGCUCAGUAUUUUGCCUUUUUAGGUUCUUGUGCAGACUUGGCGUAACCAAGAAUUCAAAAAUCCACAGCAUGUGUGUGGCUGUCCCUAAAACUGAGAGACAGGCUAACCAGCGGUCAACAACGGUGCUGACCAUCAGGACUUGAAAUAACGUUUCCAGCUACUUGUUUAAAACUACUCCGUUCUGAAGCUGAUUCAUUAGCAAGGUUGUUCUCUAUGGAUUGUUUGUUUUCCUAAAUGAAAUGAAACAAAAGAUCUGUGUGUGUCCACAAGGUGAGGUAGUAGGUUGUAUAGUUUGUGGGAAGGAUCAAAUCCUAAUCAGUUGAUAACUAUACAGUCUAUUGCCUUCCUUGAGAGACACAAUGAGCAAGGGGGAAGAGAAAGAGUUGUCAAAAUUAGUAAUAAAAGUUGAACUAUUGUAUUGAAAUAACGUAAAAAUGGCAUUAAAUGUGUUUUUUCUGCAUUGGCUUUUCCAAAUAA
This is a long non-coding RNA of Xyrauchen texanus (razorback sucker), 1374 nucleotides long. RefSeq lists it as uncharacterized. The record is from RefSeq and is a predicted model, not a curated record. Lineage: Eukaryota; Metazoa; Chordata; Actinopteri; Cypriniformes; Catostomidae. The transcript is spliced from 4 exons.